GAUGAACGCUGGCGGCGUGCCUAAUACAUGCAAGUCGAGCGAACGGACGAGAAGCUUGCUUCUCUGAUGUUAGCGGCGGACGGGUGAGUAACACGUGGAUAACCUACCUAUAAGACUGGGAUAACUUCGGGAAACCGGAGCUAAUACCGGAUAAUAUUUUGAACCGCAUGGUUCAAAAGUGAAAGACGGUCUUGCUGUCACUUAUAGAUGGAUCCGCGCUGCAUUAGCUAGUUGGUAAGGUAACGGCUUACCAAGGCAACGAUGCAUAGCCGACCUGAGAGGGUGAUCGGCCACACUGGAACUGAGACACGGUCCAGACUCCUACGGGAGGCAGCAGUAGGGAAUCUUCCGCAAUGGGCGAAAGCCUGACGGAGCAACGCCGCGUGAGUGAUGAAGGUCUUCGGAUCGUAAAACUCUGUUAUUAGGGAAGAACAUAUGUGUAAGUAACUGUGCACAUCUUGACGGUACCUAAUCAGAAAGCCACGGCCAACUACGUGCCAGCAGCCGCGGUAAUACGUAGGUGGCAAGCGUUAUCCGGAAUUAUUGGGCGUAAAGCGCGCGUANGCGGUUUUUUAGUCUGAUGUGAAAGCCCACGGCUCAACCGUGGAGGGUCAUUGGAAACUGGAAAACUUGAGUGCAGAAGAGGAAAGUGGAAUUCCAUGUGUAGCGGUGAAAUGCGCAGAGAUAUGGAGGAACACCAGUGGCGAAGGCGACUUUCUGGUCUGUAACUGACGCUGAUGUGCGAAAGCGUGGGGAUCAAACAGGAUUAGAUACCCUGGUAGUCCACGCCGUAAACGAUGAGUGCUAAGUGUUAGGGGGUUUCCGCCCCUUAGUGCUGCAGCUAACGCAUUAAGCACUCCGCCUGGGGAGUACGACCGCAAGGUUGAAACUCAAAGGAAUUGACGGGGACCCGCACAAGCGGUGGAGCAUGUGGUUUAAUUCGAAGCAACGCGAAGAACCUUACCAAAUCUUGACAUCCUUUGACAACUCUAGAGAUAGAGCCUUCCCCUUCGGGGGACAAAGUGACAGGUGGUGCAUGGUUGUCGUCAGCUCGUGUCGUGAGAUGUUGGGUUAAGUCCCGCAACGAGCGCAACCCUUAAGCUUAGUUGCCAUCAUUAAGUUGGGCACUCUAAGUUGACUGCCGGUGACAAACCGGAGGAAGGUGGGGAUGACGUCAAAUCAUCAUGCCCCUUAUGAUUUGGGCUACACACGUGCUACAAUGGACAAUACAAAGGGCAGCGAAACCGCGAGGUCAAGCAAAUCCCAUAAAGUUGUUCUCAGUUCGGAUUGUAGUCUGCAACUCGACUACAUGAAGCUGGAAUCGCUAGUAAUCGUAGAUCAGCAUGCUACGGUGAAUACGUUCCCGGGUCU
This 1371-nucleotide ribosomal RNA is filed under the name uncultured bacterium. Its description in RNAcentral is "bacterial SSU rRNA". It matches the Rfam family "Bacterial small subunit ribosomal RNA", at positions 28 to 1381 of the family's 1533-position model. The record is from RNAcentral.